Molecule: ribosomal RNA, 486 nt
Filed under: uncultured bacterium
Lineage: Bacteria
Description: bacterial SSU rRNA
Rfam family: Bacterial small subunit ribosomal RNA
Source: RNAcentral
UGGCUCAGAUUGAACGCUGGCGGAAUGCUUUACACAUGCAAGUCGAACGGUAGAGGGGGCAACCCUUGAGAGUGGCGAACGGGUGAGUAAUAUAUCGGAACGUGCCCAGUCGUGGGGAUAACGUAGCGAAAGUUACGCUAAUACCGCAUACGAUCUAAGGAUGAAAGCGGGGGAUCGCAAGACCUCGCGCGAUUGGAGCGGCCGAUAUCAGAUUAGGUAGUUGGUGAGGUAAAGGCUCACCAAGCCAACGAUCUGUAGCUGGUCUGAGAGGACGACCAGCCACACUGGAACUGAGACACGGUCCAGACUCCUACGGGAGGCAGCAGUGGGGAAUUUUGGACAAUGGACGCAAGUCUGAUCCAGCCAUUCCGCGUGCAAGAUGAAGGCCCUCGGGUUGUAAACUGCUUUUGUACGGAACGAAAAGGUUUCUAUUAAUACUAGGAGCUCAUGACGGUACCGUAAGAAUAAGCACCGGCUAACUACGUG